CUUUACUAGGAUUUUUAUAUUGAAGAUAACUUAUAUAUAAAUAUGGAGAAAAGUUAAUAUUAAGUAUAAAUAAAUGAAACAGCAACCCAAUGAUUCAAAAAGACUAAUAUGAAAGUCAUCUAGUCAAUAUUCUGUCUUCAACAAUAGAGAGGUUUCUAUACAAUUAAUGUAUAUCAACCUAUAAAUCGUCUAGAGUGUAAAAAGGUUGGGAAUAAAUGUGGUCGAGACCACCAAAGUAAAAAGAUUGGGAAUAAAUGUGAUAGAGACCACCAAAGUAAAAAGAUUGGGAAUAAAUGUGAUAGAGACCAUCAAAGUAAAAAGGUUGGGAAUAAAUGUGGUCGAGACCACCAAAGUUAAAAGAUUGGGAAUAAAUGUGAUAGAGACCACCAAAGUAAAAAGAUUGGGAAUAAAUGUGAUAGAGACCACCAAAGUAAAAAGAUUGGGAAUAAAUGUGAUAGAGACCAUCAAAGUAAAAAGGUUGGGAAUAAAUGUGGUCGAGACCACCAAAGUAAAAACGUUAGGAAUAAAUGUGGUCGAGACCACCAAAGUAAAAAGAUUGGGAAUAAAUGUGAUAGAGACCACCAAAGUAAAAAGGUUAGGAAUAAAUGUGGUCGAGACCACCAAAGUAAAAAGAUUGGGAAUAAAUGUGAUAGAGACCACCAAAGUAAAAAGGUUAGGAAUAAAUGUGGUCGAGACCACCAAAGUAAAAAGAUUGGGAAUAAAUGUGAUAGAGACCACCAAAGUAAAAAGGUUUGGAAUAAAUAUGAUAGAGACCAUCAAAGUAAAAAGGUUAGGAAUAAAUGUGGUCGAGACCACCAAAGUAAAAAGAUUGGGAAUAAAUGUGAUAGAGACCACCAAAGUAAAAAUAUUGGGAAUAAAUGCGAUAGAGACCAUCAAAGUAAAAAGGUUUGGACUAAAUGUGAUAGAGACCACCAAAGUAAAAAGGUUUGGAAUAAAUAU
Mytilus californianus (California mussel) is the source of this 960-nucleotide long non-coding RNA. RefSeq lists it as uncharacterized. The transcript is spliced from 3 exons. Lineage: Eukaryota; Metazoa; Mollusca; Bivalvia; Mytilida; Mytilidae. The record is from RefSeq and is a predicted model, not a curated record.